ACCACUAAGAUGAAAUGGAGGUUCUCUCAGAAAAGAAAUGUUCAUCUAUCUGGCUGAUUACAUAUAAAUUAAACAUUGUAUGUUUCACAGUGGGUCCCCUACCAGCAGUCUGGACUGACUGCAAAUGAAGGAUUAACAUUUUCCAAAAGAAAAACAGGAAGAAAAAGCAGCCUGAGGAAGGGAUUUGCACCACUAUAUUUGGGAGGCUUUGAAAAAUCGCUGAAGAGAACUUUGGAUGGAGUGAGGCCUGGAAAAUAGUUUGUGUGUUACCACAGGCUGGUGCAUUCAGGGAGCUGAUCCACAGCAGGCACAGACAAGGCUGCUUCAUACGAAGAGCAGGUGGUGAUGAGUCUUCCAUGAAACCGGAACGCAUGGUCGUGAACCACUCCACACAGCGUGACAUGGGGUUUUGUUCACAUGCAUGUUUGUGGAAACUAAGUCUUGGGAAUAAAUCUGGGUGAAGGUUCCUGCCAGGACCAUUCACAAGUCAUCUUGAAAUCUCUGAGAGAUUGGAAGAAAAGGAAGACAUCACACAAUCCCAAA
This is a long non-coding RNA of Mauremys reevesii (Reeves's turtle), 543 nucleotides long. RefSeq lists it as uncharacterized. The record is from RefSeq and is a predicted model, not a curated record. Lineage: Eukaryota; Metazoa; Chordata; Testudines; Geoemydidae. The transcript is spliced from 3 exons.